GAAGUAGGAAGUAAAUCUGCCACGUGUGGUUGGAAGACAAUUAGAAGGUGAAUGGUGGUCAAAGAAAUUGUGGGAACAGGCCGUCUUUCAGCUAACAUCUUGCUGGUCGAGGUCAAAUGGAGAGUCCAGUCACGUCAGUCGAAUUCCACAGAGGUCUCCUUUCUGCAUCCCUCCUCAGACUGUCCAUGUAUGUUGGUGUGAGACGUCUUCUAGUAGAGGGAUCUGCUGCUGAUUGAAAUGAAUCAUCCCGAUAUCACAGCUCCUUACAACUCGAUCCUGGGGACAGAUGGAGCAGUCAUCUGAGAGGACACUUUCUCUAAUCCUUGCUUCACUCGUGUGCUUUGGCAUUCUGGGGUGUUGCACAGAGGAGGGAGCGAGAGAAGGGGGAGAAAGCGGAUGGCCCAUGACCCUGUGGGCUUUCAAAGGCACAUGGAAAGGCACACUGGAAACGUCUUGCAAAACACACAUUAGUCCAAGAGGCAUUUUGCCAGGGAACCCUGAUUUCAUGGUGGACAGAUGAGAAUGUUUCAAAAAAUGACACAAAGGUGUGAAGGGGAAUGUUUUCUUAGUCUUCCAUCGCAAGUGGUUUGUUGUUGGUGUCGAAAGGUCAACUUGUCAGACCUCGUCGUCCGAUCCUGCCUUUGACCCCUUCUCACCUUUUCUAUGGGCUCCAGUUUCACAGAACCAGAAAAUACCAGGUAAAUACAUUCUGAUAAAUACACGUUUUUAAAAAAAAAGUGGUAAUUGUUUUAAUUCUGUAAAGCACUUUGUGUUGCAUGUCUUUGCAGGAAAAGUGCUAUACAAAUAAAGUUGAUUUGAUUUGAUCAUGCCACAGUAUUGCAGCACUGUCAAAGAUACGGCCCGCUAUACGUUGUGGUCAAAAUGCUUUGGAAGACAUGCUAGCAUACAUUUAAUACUGAUAUCAUCACACUUUUAGACUCAUUAGCUAACUAGUCUAAUACUUAAGUAUUACUAUUACUUAAGUAAAAAGUAGUUGCCAGUAAAUGGUACAUGGUAAAAUACGGGCCGCUUGGUCUGCCCUGCAGAGGAUAAUCCACCCGAGAGGACCAUGUUUUUUUUUUUUUUUAUUAUAUUUUGCUUGUGUGUGCAUGAGCAUGCCUGUCUAGGCUGGCGUAAAAGUUCCCUCCUAUUUCACUUAAAUAUAUCAUAUAGCAGACAUUUUUUGGAUUUGAAUACCUUUUAACACUAAUUAUUGGAACACAAAAUUUGCAUACACAAGUGAAGCCAAUCAUUAGAGAGGAUAUUUAAGGUGGCCAAUCGCAAGUUGCAUUAUCUCUGAAGAGUAGCACCAUGGUAGCCUCAAAACAACUGUCAAAUGACCUGAAAUCAAAUAUUGUUCAACAUCAUGGUUUAGGGGAAGGAUACACAAAGCUAGCUCAGAGAUUUCAACUGUCAGCUUCCAGUGACUAAAUGGGAAACCACAGGCACAGUUCUAGUUAAGACCCGAAAUGGCAGGCCAAUGGUCAAAAAUAUCUUUGAUUUUGUUUAAAUAAUUAUUGCACACUUUAUGUAAAUCUGAUAAACUUCAUUUAACUUCUCAUCUAUUACUGUGUUCGUCUGCUAUAUGAAAUAUUUAACUGAAAUCGCUGAUCCUAACAACCAGUGAUUUACUAAGGAAAAUCUGAAAUUAUCAGGGGUGCUGCCCAAACAUUUUCACACCACUGUAAAUAGAAUUGUGCUCAUGUGUGUUGCAAUGUGUGGAGGACAGGAAGUAAUGCCACGGGUUCAAAGUUGAGUUUUAACCUGGCAUGGGUUUUGACCGCCACCAAUUUUGCACAGUUGAGGCUUAAACCUUAAACUACUUGCACUGGAUAGAUGUCCCUUUUUAGCAUUGUCAUGUUUUAAGUGAAGCAUGUUGAUGGAUGUCCAGUCUUAGUUGUGCAGGCACAAUGUCUCCAUUGUUGAAUAAAUCUGUUAAAUAUUCUUUGUGCUUGAGUGGCUGAAUACAAAGAAAGUCGGAGUUCUCUGUGUUGACUGACAGAAUCUGUGGCACAUAAAUGAUUUACUCAGCCUUUAAUUUCAGGGCAGGGCAUACAUAUCAGUGGAUGUCAACAUUGGGGCUUGAAAAUAAGGGACAUUUUCUGAUCAUCAAUGUUGCAACAUUUUCUUUGACUUAAAUAUUUUUUUUCAUUUCACAUGGCUUUUUUUCACCCCACUUCAUUUCAUUGCUUUUUACAUAAAGUCAUCAUGUGGAUCUCUGGCAUUCCCAAGCAAAUGUACCCAACACAUGUAAUGUGGGUAUCGUUUACAUAUUGUAUGAUAUUGGUACGUUUGAAAUGAUGCCAGGGACCCAUUAUGCUUGUCCCCCUUUUCUGACCUAUAAAUGUUGUAUUCCCAUGUUAAAUGAUGCCUCCAUCCAUCCAUUUUCCUCCGCUUAUCCGGGUCGCGGGGCCAGCAGUCUCAGUAGGGAAGCCCAGACUUCCCGGUCCCCGGCCACCUCCUCCAGCUCCACCGGGAGGACACCAAGGCGUUCCCAGGCCAGCUGUGAGACACAAUCCCUUGAGCGUGUCCUAGGUCUGCCCCGGGGCCUUUUUCUGGCUGGGCAUGCCCGGAACACCUCACCAAGGAGGCGUCCAGCAGGCAUUGUAAACGAUGCCUAAGUUUCAGAUAAUGAGUUUUGCGCAUUUGGAAGUGAGAAGUGAAAGAAGUUUGGGAUGGCUCAAAAAGCAUGGUAAAACCGCCCCUUUCUGAUGUCACAGAGGGGCUGACUUCCUUAUAUGCGGGUGGCUGUAAGCUCUCAGCCCCCAAGCUCUACUAUUCUGUUUAUGACACAAGCUCAGGUAGAAGUCAGUAUUUGGUGAUUCCCAGCAAGAGAAAAAUAUUUCAAUGAAUGUGAAAUAUCCGUCAAACUGUUGCUGGAGCCGGAUGCUGUGCCUCGACGCAGAGGAAACCGGAGAAUCGAACUCAGGUCUUCCCGAUCCCCUUACUGUGUGGCCACCGUGGACCAUUUUCAUUUUUGUUCUUGUUCCAGAUUCUACGUAUAUGUAUGCUUCCAAGAAUGCAUUCAAGGUGUUUGCACACUUUGAUUGCAUGGCCAUGCAACCAUCUACACUUGCUCAUACAGACACACACAACACAACACAACCCCAUUGAUAAGGCAAGACAUUCCACGAAGUAACCAUGACAAUCCUGACGCGAAUCGAGAAAUCACCAAGAGUUUGCAGUGGAAUCAAAAAAAUCACAGGGUGGCUACUUUGAGGAAUCUAAAAUAUAUUCAGAGUUAUUCCACACUUUUGUUAAGUACAUUCAUAAUUUUGAGAAUCUACAAUGCAAAUGGACACAUUGAUUGAGAAGGUGCGUCCAAACUUUUGGCCUGCACUGUAUGUUUUCAAGAAGCGAGAGCAUUCUGAUCCACUAUUAAACCUGCAUGAUGUUAAGUGUUUUCCCUCAAGCGGACGUUCAAACAGCCAAUAACCAACUGUUACCCACUUAUUAAAACAGCAUUAAACUUGAAUAACUAAUAACAAGCUCUUCUAGACCAGUGCACACGUAAAUGAUCAUUUUCAUAAUUGGAUUAUACCUCCCACAUUCAAGGCAGUGGGGAGGAAACCACGCUGGAUGCUUGUAGAUUUCCAUCUCAUUAAGGCCCUUAAACAAGGAUGCUUGUAAGGAAUUCUUCAUUUUAUGGAGACAGUAAAUCUAUCUUCAAAAUACAGAAAUAAGCACUCUUG
Non-coding RNA from Doryrhamphus excisus (bluestripe pipefish), 3692 nucleotides. The record is from RefSeq and is a predicted model, not a curated record. NCBI's taxonomy places the organism in Eukaryota, Metazoa, Chordata, Actinopteri, Syngnathiformes, Syngnathidae.